AUUCAUUUGAAGACACAAAGCUGGAGCCAGGUCUGUGGAGACUCCUGCAAACCAGCCCCCUGAGACCAGAGCUGGCUCUUCCAUCAGGAGCAAGAGCAGCUCUACCUGAGGUCAGGUGUGGUGUCCUCUGCCACCUUCGAGCAGCCGAGUCGCCAGGUGAAGCUGUGGGUGAAGAUGGUGACUCCACUGAUCAAGAACUUCUUCUGAGGACAGACAGGUGCUGUCUCUAGCAUCACCUCUCAGCACGAUUUUCCCGAGAGUUCACAGAGCUGCGCCCUUCUAGACUCUGGAAGUUGAGUAACAGGACCUGCUCUGCCCACCCAGGAGGGGCCUGCCGCUUCACCAGAGGCACCAGUGGGGUCCCACAGUCACCUGAGGAAUGGCCUUGAUGAAGAUGACAGGCAUGGCCGGGGUCAGCUCUUUCAGCCGCGCUUCAGCGAUGACUCCAGUCUGGGUGUCCCAGCGAGCCCCUGCAGGGACAGUAUGGCUGAGGGUCAGGUGUGCUGCCAGUAAGUGAGGGAGGGGCUGGCAGGAAGGGUGGGGUCCUCACACUCCCCGCCCUCUGCAGAGCUGGGCUCUACCCCAAAAGGCUUCAGGCCAGCUGCCACGGCUGGAAGCAGAGGCCUUCGUAGGUGAUGGCCUGCAUGUUGUAACUACCCCGUCCCGCUGGGCUCAAGGAACAGCUCAGCUAAAGCCCUCGGGUUCCAUCCGUUUAAAUCUGUGGCAUUUUCAGAGCCUCAUCUGUCAGCCUUAAUGUCAGUGGCAGGAAGUCAUAACUCCAGCUAAAAAUUACAGAGUAAAGUUCCCUGAUUCUUAAUGUGUAAUGUCUGCCCUAUGUGUACAUACACAAUAUAAUUAUACAUCUGUGCAUAUAAAUAUUGCCUUUAACCAGACUGCUAUUAUUUCUACUCGCCCUAUUUAAUGGUGUUUUUAUUUCCUGUCUGAAAUCUCAAAAUAAACAAACAUGGAGAGCU
This 974-nucleotide long non-coding RNA is filed under the name Homo sapiens (human). RNAcentral describes it as "HSALNT0245844". Lineage: Eukaryota; Metazoa; Chordata; Mammalia; Primates; Hominidae. The record is from RNAcentral.